RNAcentral lists this ribosomal RNA (460 nucleotides) under uncultured bacterium. Its description in RNAcentral is "partial 16S ribosomal RNA". It matches the Rfam family "Bacterial small subunit ribosomal RNA", at positions 338 to 795 of the family's 1533-position model. The record is from RNAcentral.
CCUACGGGAGGCAGCAGUGGGGAAUAUUGGUCAAUGGGCGCGAGCCUGAACCAGCCAAGUAGCGUGAAGGAUGACUGCCCUACGGGUUGUAAACUUCUUUUAUAAAGGAGUAAAGUGAGGCACGUGUGCCUUUUUGUAUGUACUUUAUGAAUAAAGCUCGGCUAACUCCGUGCCAGCAGCCGCGGUAAUACGGAGUAUCCGGGCGUUAGCCGGAUUUAGUGGGUUUAAAGGGAGCGUAGAUGGGUUGGUAAGUCAGUUGUGAAAGUUUGCGGCUCAACCGUAAAAUUGCAAUUGAUACUGGCAGGCUUGAGUACAGGUGAGGUAGGCGGAAUGCGUGGUGUAGCGGUGAAAUGCGUAGAUAUCACGAAGAACUCCGAUUGCGAAGGCAGCUUACUAAACUGUAACUGACAUUGAUGCUCGAAAGUGUGGGUAUCAAACAGGAUUAGAUACCCCAGUAGUC